AACGCUGGCGGCGUGCCUAACACAUGCAAGUCAACUUGACUGAAGAGCAAUCUGACAGUAGAGUGGCGCAAGGGUGCGUAACGCGUAGUAACUUGCCCCAAGGUAAGGAAUAACGUCGAGAAAUCGGCGCUAAUACCUCAUAAUGGCAGCGGAUCCGCAUGGAUAUGUUGUUAAAGGUUUACCGCCUUGGGAUAGGCUUGCGUCUGAUUAGUUAGUUGGUGUGGUAACGGCACACCAAGGCUACGAUCAGUAACUGGUCUGAGAGGAUGAUCAGUCACACUGGAACUGAGACACGGUCCAGACUCCUACGGGAGGCAGCAGUGAGGAAUAUUGGGCAAUGCUCGAAAGAGUGACCCAGCAACGCCGCGUGGAGGAUGAAGGUAUUCUAUAUUCGUAAACUCCUGUGAGAGCAGACGAAAGACAGAUUAUUAAUCUGGAUGACUGUAUGCUCAGAGGAAGCCCCGGCUAACUACGUG
This 476-nucleotide ribosomal RNA is filed under the name uncultured bacterium. RNAcentral describes it as "bacterial SSU rRNA". It matches the Rfam family "Bacterial small subunit ribosomal RNA", at positions 32 to 507 of the family's 1533-position model. The record is from RNAcentral.